AGUGAACGCUGGCGGUAGGCCUAACACAUGCAAGUCGAACGGCAGCACAGGAGAGCUUGCUCUCUGGGUGGCGAGUGGCGGUCGGGUGAGGAAUACAUCGGAAUCUACUUUUUCGUGGGGGAUAACGUAGGGAAACUUACGCUAAUACCGCAUACGACCUACGGGUGAAAGCAGGGGACCUUCGGGCCUUGCGCGAUUGAAUGAGCCGAUGUCGGAUUAGCUAGUUGGCGGGGUAAAGGCCCACCAAGGCGACGAUCCGUAGCUGGUCUGAGAGGAUGAUCAGCCACACUGGAACUGAGACACGGUCCAGACUCCGACGGGAGGCAGCAGUGGGGAAUAUUGGACAAUGGGCGCAAGCCUGAUCCAGCCAUACCGCGUGGGUGAAGAAGGCCUUCGGGUUGUAAAGCCCUUUUGUUGGGAAAGAAAUCCAGCUGGCUAAUACCCGGUUGGGAUGACGGUACCCAAAGAAUAAGCACCGGCUAACUUCGUGCCAGCCGCCGCGGUAA
Molecule: ribosomal RNA, 506 nt
Filed under: uncultured bacterium
Lineage: Bacteria
Description: partial 16S ribosomal RNA
Rfam family: Bacterial small subunit ribosomal RNA
Source: RNAcentral